This 246-nucleotide ribosomal RNA is filed under the name uncultured bacterium. Its description in RNAcentral is "partial 16S ribosomal RNA". It matches the Rfam family "Bacterial small subunit ribosomal RNA", at positions 118 to 347 of the family's 1533-position model. The record is from RNAcentral.
UGGGUAACCUGCCUCAAAGAGGGGAAUAACCUCCCGAAAGGGAGAUUAAUACCGCAUAAUAUGUUUAGGUCGCAUGACUUUAACAUCAAAGGAUUUUCUUUUAGAAAUUCCACUUUGAGAUGGACCCGCGGCGCAUUAGCUAGUUGGUGAGGUAACGGCUCACCAAGGCAACGAUGCGUAGCCGACCUGAGAGGGUNAUCGGCCACAUUGGAACUGAGACACGGUCCAGACUCCGUACGGGAGCAG